GGUUGACCUCGGAUCAGGUAGGAAUACCCGCUGAACUUAAGCAUAUCAAUAAA
This 53-nucleotide ribosomal RNA is filed under the name Phyllachora sp. Its description in RNAcentral is "partial 28S ribosomal RNA". The record is from RNAcentral. Lineage: Eukaryota; Fungi; Ascomycota; Sordariomycetes; Phyllachorales; Phyllachoraceae.